CGAACGCUGGCGGCGUGCUUAACACAUGCAAGUCGAGCGAUGAAGCACCUUCGGGUGUGAAUUAGCGGCGAACGGGUGAGGAACACGUGAGAAAUCUGCCUUCAACUCUGGGAUAACUCCGUGAAAACGGGGCUAAUACCGGAUAUGAAACCUUCAGGCAUCUGAGGGUUUGGAAAGUUUUUUCGGUUGAAGAUGAUCUCGCGGCCUAUCAGCUUGUUGGUGAGGUAAUGGCUCACCAAGGCGACGAC
Molecule: ribosomal RNA, 248 nt
Filed under: uncultured Actinomycetes bacterium
Lineage: Bacteria; Bacillati; Actinomycetota; Actinomycetes
Description: uncultured actinobacterium partial 16S ribosomal RNA
Rfam family: Bacterial small subunit ribosomal RNA
Source: RNAcentral